Long non-coding RNA from Drosophila pseudoobscura, 1656 nucleotides. RefSeq lists it as uncharacterized. The transcript is spliced from 2 exons. Lineage: Eukaryota; Metazoa; Arthropoda; Insecta; Diptera; Drosophilidae. The record is from RefSeq and is a predicted model, not a curated record.
UUACUUGCUUCGGUUUCCUAGUGUGCUCGUCACAUUCCACCCUACUAUCCUUAGCAAUGAAAAUAUUUAUUUCUGCUUUAAAUAUAAUGAACACUUUGCAUUAUAAUCGGAUUAAAAAUAGCUAAUGUCGUUUGCUUGUUUUUCGUCAUUCGUAAACUUAUUCUGAAUUGCUUUGACAGAGGCCCAGGUACGAGUACAAGCAUAAAGAAAACAGCUUGCGAUAAGAGCAGCGAGCGAAAGCUUUAGAAUAUUGUAAAUUCAUUCAAAAGUACAUAUUUCAAUGAUGAAAUAUUCCCUGCCAGAUGCCCAAUACAACAGAGUGGACGACCAGAGUAGAGUGGAUGAAAGGUCGAAUUGAAGUGCUGCCAGCUUGAUAUCAUCAAAAAAUCAAAUAUUAACCAGUCGAAACGUAUGGCCAUAUUAAUACUCAUCAAUCUACUCGGUUUUUACAAAUCGAAGCACUUAAAAAUCGCGUCCAUUCCGGCUAUAAUAAUACUUAUUCCGAUCGCAAAGUGGUUCUGCAAUCUAGUAGAUAUAAUCUUUCUUCACGAGUCUCCGGAUUUCCCCUAUCUGUCUAUAAACGUUUCACUCACCAGUGUGUGGGUGUAGCCAAGACCCUCUUCCAUAUCUCCCUCGACCGUGGGGCUCUGCUCUCCACGAUGGUGAGGAUGAUGACCCAUAUUUGAGUACAGCGAGGACGCAUUGGAAUGUGUACGCACAGGGUGGUGUAUCCGGGCUGAGGCCGAUGAUGGUGCGACUAGCAGGGAUUCGCUUUCGUUUUUGUUUACUUUCGCCAUUUCUUAUAUCUUAUAUCUCUCGACUUCCACGCACGAAAAGCUCUUAAAUUUGGAAUUUUAUCAGCAUUCGUCACUUGUGAAUGCCCAUGGAAUCACAUUCGUCACAUGAAUUGAAUUUAAAAGCAAGAGAAAAAGCAAAUUUCUUGGGCUCUUUUCUACAUUAAGUCCAAUUAGCACAAUGUAAAAUGCACUUGUGUUGCAGCACACGAUGAUGGCGAAGUCACAAGAUCGACUUCCUUUCGAGAUCCAAGGGCUCGAGCUCGGGCGACGAGUAGGUGGGUAGGUGGCAACUGAUGGAGCUCUGAUCUGAGCUCUGUGGCGUGCAGAGUUGAUUCACGAAUCUUGUACUUUCAGUUGCACCAGUAACUUCUGCUGUCCAACGACUGUGACGACGACGACGACGACGACGUCUCCGUUGCCUGGGAAACUUCUACUGAUAUCGCGCUACCGUCUACCGGCUACCGGCCACCAUUGCCGCUCUCUGGUGUUAUCUGUAGAAAUCACUUUUUACUCUUGUCUACCCUUUGGGCCGAAUCCGACUGGCGAUAAGGGAGUGUUUAAGAGGUUUUUUGUAUAGCCAAUAGCCAUGUGUACAUUUCAAGUGGCGCACUUAACUGUGUGAAGGCUUAAUUAACAGCAGCAAUAACGACCAUAACAAUGGCACAUCGGAAUACCUCACAGGUCUCACAGGUUAAUUAUAUUCUUAUCAAAAUAUAUUUGGGAUAUCACUUGCAAUGCCACUGAGAAACCGAUCUGGAAUGAGGAGGAAAUGUACAAGUAAUAUGAAAACAUGGUUUAUGUUUGUUCUGAUUUUCCCCACAAUAAAGCAAGUAGCUUCCGACUGAACGAUUAGACGCCA